GACGUAGGGCGCAAGCGUUGUCCGGAUUUAUUGGGCGUAAAGAGCUCGUAGGCGGUUUGUCGCGUCUGGUGUGAAAAUCCAGGGCUUAACCCUGGACCUGCAUCGGGUACGGGCAGACUAGAGUGCGGUAGGGGAGAUCGGAAUUCCUGGUGUAGCGGUGAAAUGCGCAGAUAUCAGGAGGAACACCUGCGGCGAAGGCGGGUAGCUGGGCCGACACUGACGCUGAGGCGCGAAAGCCAGGGGAGCGAACGGG
Molecule: ribosomal RNA, 253 nt
Filed under: uncultured bacterium
Lineage: Bacteria
Description: partial 16S ribosomal RNA
Rfam family: Bacterial small subunit ribosomal RNA
Source: RNAcentral